GACGAACGCUGGCGGCGUGCCUAAUACAUGCAAGUAGAACGAGUUGCGAACGGGUGAGUAACGCGUGGUAACCUGCCUCAUAGCUGUGGAUAACUAUUGUAAACGCUAGCUAAUACCGCAUACUGUGAGAUGGACCUGCGUUUUAUUAGCUAGUUGGUGAGGGAAAGGCUCACCAAGGCGACGAUACAUAGCCGACCUGAGAGGGUGACCAGCCAAACUGGAACUGAUACACGGUCCAGAAUCCUACGGGAGGCAGCAGUGGGGAAUAUUGCACAAUGGGCGCAAGCCUGAUGCAGCCAUGCCGCGUGUAUGAAGAAGGCCUUCGGGUUGUAAAGUACUUUCAGCGGGGAGGCGUUACCCGCAGAAGAAGCACCGGCUAACUCCGUGCCAGCAGCCGCGGUAAUAC
This 406-nucleotide ribosomal RNA is filed under the name uncultured bacterium. RNAcentral's name for it is "partial 16S ribosomal RNA". It matches the Rfam family "Bacterial small subunit ribosomal RNA", at positions 28 to 526 of the family's 1533-position model. The record is from RNAcentral.